UCUAAACAAAACCGUUUUUUCUCGGCUACCAAACAAGCCCCUUGUUUUUUUUCUGGGCAAGAUAGACCCAUUUACAAAAGUAAAAACCCUUACCUCUCCAUCCUCUUCCAAAUUAUAAUCACUCUUUAGGGUUUCUAUCUAUCUCCAUAAAGUAUAAACCUUGAACCUUACCCAAAUCGGUUUCUUCCAUUGAGUCAUUGAAGUCUUACAAUUCUUAAGAGAUAAUAAUAGCAAUCAGAAAGAAGUAUGAGUGUUGGUGCUUCUAUCUCAUCAAUCGGAACCGCGCGUGUUGCUAAUUGCCACCGUUGGAGGACCCUAAUUCCGCUUCCUUCUUUGCCUUCCUCCAAUUGGAGAUUGAUGUCGCCUCUGGCUUCAGCUCCAUCAGCGUUCAUGUCCAUGAGCUCAGCUUCGACGACGGAACCGGUGGUCGUGGAGGCCCCGAAGCCCAAGCACCCCUGGCUCAUUGUCGGCCUCGGUAACCCCGGCAAGAAGUACCAAGCCACCCGCCACAAUGUGGGCUUUGAGAUGGUGGAUGCUAUAGCCGAAGCUGAAGGGAUUUCUACUAGCAGCGUUUCCUUCAAAGCUCUGUUAGGAAAAGGUUUUAUUGGAGACGUUCCAGUUAUGUUUGCUAAACCCCAAACUUUCAUGAAUGCAAGUGGUCAGUCUGUUGGGGCUAUCGUAUCGUAUUACAAGAUUCCGCUAAAGCAAGUACUCGUGAUUUUUGAUGACUUAGAUUUGCCAUUUGCAAAGUUGCGGCUUUUGCCUAAAGGUGGCCAUGGAGGACACAAUGGAAUGAGGAGCAUCAUCGAUCACUUCAAAGGGAACCGUGAUUUUCCUCGUUUAAGAAUUGGCAUUGGAAGGCCUCCUGGGAAAAUGGAUCCAGUCAACUUUGUUCUUCGCCCAUUCAAUAAACAAGAACGUGAAGAGUUGAACUUCACAUUUCAACAUGGCAUUGAAGCAGUACGGAUUCUUUUGCUGGAGGGGUUUAAUAACAGUGCCACAUUUGCUAACAGUGCCAAAACCCUGGAACAACUUGGUUAACUUCGGGCGCAAAUUAUAAUUACUGGCGAUCACGGACAGGUGGAUAUAUUAUUCAUGCAAUUUGAAGUUGUGAUUGUGAAAGCUAUUAGUGGCUGGCCUUGAAUGCAUGCUUUGACGCCAGAUGAUUCAUUGUGUGCUUUGCCCUUUUGCUCUUUUUUUAUUAUUCCUUUGGAAAAGGCCAUAUUGGUCUUCCCCGACGGUGCUUUCUUUCUGGAGCCCAACUAUUUCUUCCUACAGGUAUAGAAUUUUGAGACUGUAAAAUUGUAGACUUAAGGACUCAUUUGGUUAUUGAGUAUGAGAUGAAAUGAGAUGUUUUGUUGAAAGUUGAAUAAAAUAUUGUUAUAAUAUACUUUUUUAAUAUUA
Juglans regia (Persian walnut) is the source of this 1404-nucleotide RNA transcript. It is a transcript of the gene named peptidyl-tRNA hydrolase, mitochondrial-like, with no coding region annotated. NCBI's taxonomy places the organism in Eukaryota, Viridiplantae, Streptophyta, Magnoliopsida, Fagales, Juglandaceae. The record is from RefSeq and is a predicted model, not a curated record. The transcript has 9 exons.